CCUACGGGGGGCAGCAGUGAGGAAUAUUGGUCAAUGGACGGAAGUCUGAACCAGCCAUGCCGCGUGCAGGAAGACGGCUCUAUGAGUUGUAAACUGCUUUUGUACAAGGGUAAACCUGAAUACGUGUAUUCAGCUGAAAGUACUGUACGAAUAAGGAUCGGCUAACUCCGUGCCAGCAGCCGCGGUAAUACGGAGGAGCCAAGCGUUAUCCGGAAUUAUUGGGUUUAAAGGGUGCGUAGGCGGAUGGAUAGGUUAGAGGGGAAAUGGCCGAGCUGAAACCGGGAACUGCCUUUAAUACUGUUGAUCUAGAGAGUAGAUGCGGUAGGCGGAAUGUAUGGGGUAGCGGUGAAAUGCUUAGAGAUCAUACAGAACACCGAUUGCGAAGGCAGCUUACCAAUCUAUAUCUGACGUUGAGGCACGAAAGCGUGGGGAGCAAACAGGAUGAGAUACCCUUGUAGUC
This 460-nucleotide ribosomal RNA is filed under the name uncultured bacterium. Its description in RNAcentral is "partial 16S ribosomal RNA". It matches the Rfam family "Bacterial small subunit ribosomal RNA", at positions 338 to 795 of the family's 1533-position model. The record is from RNAcentral.